GAUGAACGCUGGCGGCGUGCCUAAUACAUGCAAGUCGAGCGAACAGACGAGGAGCUUGCUCCUCUGACGUUAGCGGCGGACGGGUGAGUAACACGUGGAUAACCUACCUAUAAGACUGGGAUAACUUCGGGAAACCGGAGCUAGUACCGGAUAAUAUAUUGAACCGCAUGGUUCAAUGGUGAAAGACGGUUUUGCUGUCACUUAUAGAUGGAUCCGCGCCGCAUUAGCUAGUUGGUAAGGUAACGGCUUACCAAGGCAACGAUGCGUAGCCGACCUGAGAGGGUGAUCGGCCACACUGGAGCUGAGACACGGUCCAGACUCCUACGGGAGGCAGCAGUAGGGAAUCUUCCGCAAUGGGCGAAAGCCUGACGGAGCAACGCCGCGUGAGUGCUGAAGGUCUUCGGAUCUUAAAACUCUGUUAUUAGGGAAGAACAAAUGUGUAAGUAACUAUGCACGUCUUGACGGUACCUAAUCAGAAAGCCACGGCUAACUACGUG
Molecule: ribosomal RNA, 497 nt
Filed under: uncultured bacterium
Lineage: Bacteria
Description: partial 16S ribosomal RNA
Rfam family: Bacterial small subunit ribosomal RNA
Source: RNAcentral